CCUACGGGGGGCUGCAGUGGGGAAUAUUGGACAAUGGGCGAAAGCCUGAUCCAGCCAUGCCGCGUGUGUGAAGAAGGCCUUCGGGUUGUAAAGCACUUUCAGUGGGGAAGAAAGCCUUGGGGCUAAUACCCUCGAGGAAGGACAUCACCCACAGAAGAAGCACCGGCUAACUCCGUGCCAGCAGCCGCGGUAAUACGGAGGGUGCGAGCGUUAAUCGGAAUUACUGGGCGUAAAGCGCGCGUAGGCGGUCUGAUAAGCCGGUUGUGAAAGCCCCGGGCUCAACCUGGGAACGGCAUCCGGAACUGUCAGGCUAGAGUGCAGGAGAGGAAGGUAGAAUUCCCGGUGUAGCGGUGAAAUGCGUAGAGAUCGGGAGGAAUACCAGUGGCGAAGGCGGCCUUCUGGACUGACACUGACGCUGAGGUGCGAAAGCGUGGGUAGCAAACAGGAUUAGAUACCCUUGAGU
RNAcentral lists this ribosomal RNA (463 nucleotides) under Vreelandella stevensii. Its description in RNAcentral is "partial 16S ribosomal RNA". It matches the Rfam family "Bacterial small subunit ribosomal RNA", at positions 338 to 794 of the family's 1533-position model. Lineage: Bacteria; Pseudomonadati; Pseudomonadota; Gammaproteobacteria; Oceanospirillales; Halomonadaceae. The record is from RNAcentral.